Molecule: ribosomal RNA, 798 nt
Filed under: uncultured bacterium
Lineage: Bacteria
Description: bacterial SSU rRNA
Rfam family: Bacterial small subunit ribosomal RNA
Source: RNAcentral
AGAGUUUGAUCAUGGCUCAGGACGAACGCUGGCGGCGUUAACACAUGCAAGUGGUGCGACGAACCAGGGCUUGCCCUGGGGCCAAGCCGCGAACGGGUGAGUAACACGUGAGUAACCUGCCCCGAUGACCGGGACAACCCGAGGAAACUCGGGCUAAUACCGGAUAUGGCGCACAUUCGUAAGUUUGUGCGCUAAAGGAAGCUUCGGCCUCCGCAUUGGGAGGGGCUCGCGGCCCAUUAGCUUGUUGGUGGGGUAACGGCCUACCAAGGCAACGAUGGGUAGCUGGUCUGAGAGGACGAUCAGCCACACUGGGACUGAGACACGGCCCAGACUCCUACGGGAGGCAGCAGUGGGGAAUCUUGCGCAAUGCGCGAAAGCGUGACGCAGCAACGCCGCGUGGGGGAAGACGGCCUUUCGGGUUGUAAACCCCUUUCAGGAGGGACGAAGGUUCACCGGUGAAUAGCCGUGUGGAUUGACGGUACCUCCAGAAGAAGCUCCGGCUAACUACGUGCCAGCAGCCGCGGUAAUACGUAGGGAGCAAGCGUUGUCCGGAAUCAUUGGGCGUAAAGCGCGCGUAGGCGGCCUCAUAAGUCCGUUGUGAAAGUCAAAGGCUCAACCUUUGAAAGCCGAUGGAUACUGUGAGGCUAGAGUCCGGAAGAGGCGAGUGGAAUUCCUGGUGUAGCGGUGGAAUGCGCAGAUAUCAGGAGGAACACCAAUAGCGAAGGCAGCUCGCUGGGACGGUACUGACGCUAAGGGCGAAAGCGUGGGGACGAACAGGAUUAGAUACCCUAGUAGUCC